Non-coding RNA from Pelobates cultripes (western spadefoot toad), 277 nucleotides. NCBI's taxonomy places the organism in Eukaryota, Metazoa, Chordata, Amphibia, Anura, Pelobatidae. The record is from the annotation of a GenBank genome assembly.
AAGACAACAAGAAGAUCAUAAAAUCACCCAAAAUGUUUGAGAAUAGCUCUGCCCUUGGCCACAGCUCCAGCAACACCCCACAAACAUGCUUGGUGUCCCGUUAUAUAGACAAUUUGAUUUGAGCCAAAAUUAUUAAGAAUUUUGAUAGCCUUAGUAAUGGUUAAUGCUCUUCAGAUUGACAUUUGCAGAAAUACAAAUUAAAAUGUUGACAGUGAAAUUGUCUCCCUCAGUUUCUCUAAUUGUGAUCUUGUCAUGGUAAAUAAAUUCUGACAUGUAG